This 88-nucleotide transfer RNA is filed under the name Desulfobacterales bacterium. RNAcentral describes it as "tRNA-Ser". It matches the Rfam family "tRNA". From Rfam's summary of the family: Transfer RNA (tRNA) molecules are approximately 80 nucleotides in length. The record is from RNAcentral. Lineage: Bacteria; Pseudomonadati; Thermodesulfobacteriota; Desulfobacteria; Desulfobacterales. RNAcentral also lists the same sequence under 1 other name.
GGAGGAGUGGCCGAGUGGCUUAAGGCGGCGGUCUUGAAAACCGUAGAGUGUAACAGCUCCGUGGGUUCAAAUCCUACCUCCUCCGCCA